RNAcentral lists this transfer RNA (71 nucleotides) under Surirella sp. RNAcentral describes it as "tRNA-Glu". It matches the Rfam family "tRNA". From Rfam's summary of the family: Transfer RNA (tRNA) molecules are approximately 80 nucleotides in length. Their secondary structure includes four short double-helical elements and three loops (D, anti-codon, and T loops). Lineage: Eukaryota; Bacillariophyta; Bacillariophyceae; Surirellales; Surirellaceae. The record is from RNAcentral.
GUUCUUAUAGUCUAAUGGUAAGACAUUGUUUUUUCACAACAAAAUCAUAGGUUCAAAUCCUAUUAAGAAUA